Long non-coding RNA from Bradysia coprophila, 285 nucleotides. The record is from RefSeq and is a predicted model, not a curated record. NCBI's taxonomy places the organism in Eukaryota, Metazoa, Arthropoda, Insecta, Diptera, Sciaridae.
AUUUUCUUUGGCUUAAUUCCUCGAAGAAAUGUUAGUUCCUCCUUAAGGCUCUGCUCUGAAUUGAUUGGUAUUUCCACUCUUGAUGGCUUUAGCUUCUUCAGUCUAGUUAGAAAAGCUUGCAGACUAAUUGGCCACGAUACCUUAAUGUAAUCGAAUGGAAUUUCAUUCAAGUCGUCUAAUGACAAUGAGUCAAUUGUUGGAACCCAUUCGGAUGGAAUUUGAUGUAAUGUGCCGUGAACGAUGAAUUCGGUGUUCGAAGUCGUAAAGAUCCAACGGAAUUCUUUU